AUUGAACGCUGGCGGAAUGCUUUACACAUGCAAGUCGAACGGCAGCAUAGGUGCUUGCACCUGAUGGCGAGUGGCGAACGGGUGAGUAAUAUAUCGGAACGUGCCCAGUCGUGGGGGAUAACGUAGUGAAAAUUACGCUAAUACCGCAUACGAUCUAAGGAUGAAAGCGGGGGAUCGCAAGACCUCGCGCGAUUGGAGCGGCCGAUAUCAGAUUAGGUAGUUGGUGAGGUAAAGGCUCACCAAGCCAACGAUCUGUAGCUGGUCUGAGAGGAGGACCAGCCACACUGGAACUGAGACACGGUCCAGACUCCUACGGGAGGCAGCAGUGGGGAAUUUUGGACAAUGGACGCAAGUCUGAUCCAGCCAUUCCGCGUGCAGGACGAAGGCCUUCGGGUUGUAAACUGCUUUUGUACAGAACGAAAAGGUCUCUAUUAAUACUAGGGGCUCACGACGGUACUGUAAGAAUAAGCACCGGCUAACUACGUGCCAGCCGCCGCCGUAA
RNAcentral lists this ribosomal RNA (502 nucleotides) under uncultured bacterium. RNAcentral's name for it is "partial 16S ribosomal RNA". It matches the Rfam family "Bacterial small subunit ribosomal RNA", at positions 30 to 523 of the family's 1533-position model. The record is from RNAcentral.